UUCGUAGGUGACUGCGGAAGAUCAUUAGUGAUUGCCAUCUUGGCUUAAAACUAUAUCCACAUACACCUGUGCACUGUUCGAUUGACUCUCACGAGUCAGUUUUUACAAACAUUGUGUAAUGAACGUCUAGUUAUUAUAACAAAAAUAACUUUCAACAACGGAUCUCUUGGCUCUCGCAUCGAUGAAGAACGCAGCGAAAUGCGAUAAGUAAUGUGAAUUGCAGAAUUCAGUGAAUCAUCGAAUCUUUGAACGCAACUUGCGCUCUUUGGUAUUCCGAAGAGCAUGCCUGUUUGAGUGUCAUGAAAUCUCAACCAUUAGGGUUUCUUAAUGGCUUGGAUUUGGGUGUUGCCAGCUUGUCUGGCUCGCCUUAAAAGAGUUAGCAAACAUAACAUUGUUGUCUGGUGUAAUAAGUUUCACUGGUAAGACGUGUGACUGUAAGCUUCUAAUCGCCCUUGGGCAAUUUUGACUCUGCCUCAAUCAGGUAGGACUACCCGCUGAACUUAAGCAUAUCAUAAGCGGAGGAAAAAA
Molecule: ribosomal RNA, 528 nt
Filed under: Aegeritella tuberculata
Lineage: Eukaryota; Fungi; Basidiomycota; Tremellomycetes; Trichosporonales; Trichosporonaceae
Description: eukaryotic LSU rRNA
Rfam family: 5.8S ribosomal RNA (bases 147-300)
Source: RNAcentral